This 704-nucleotide long non-coding RNA is filed under the name Physcomitrium patens. RNAcentral describes it as "long non-coding RNA (PPAT_LNC010100)". Lineage: Eukaryota; Viridiplantae; Streptophyta; Bryopsida; Funariales; Funariaceae. The record is from RNAcentral.
AGCUAGAUCACUUGCUUCACCAUCAUCCAGGUUUCGUGAGGAUUGUUGUUGCUGCAUCUGCUGGAAACCAGAAAAGGGCUGUGCGCUCCCGAAGGCUGGCUGUGCGCUCCCGAAGGCUGGCUGUGCGCUUCCGAAGGCUGAAACUUGACUUUGAUUGCUUGCUCCUCCGAAUAAAGAAGACCCUUCUGCUUCAGGUUUAGCGCUUUGUGCUCCAAAAACUGAAGUUUGAAAGAGCUGUGCGCUUCCGAAGGUCGACUGUGAAAGUCCGAAGCCUGCCGGUGAGCUUCCGAAGGCUGGCUGUGCGCUUCCGAAGGCUGAAACUGGACUUUGAUUGCUUGCUCCUCCGAAUAAAGAUGGCCCUCCUGCUUCAGGUGUAGCGCUUUGUGCUCCAAAAACUGAAGUUUGAAAGGGCUGUGCGCUUCCGAAGGUCGACUGUGAAAGUCCGAAGCCUGCCGGUGAGCUUCCGAAGGCUGGCUGUGCGCUUCCGAAGGCUGAAACUGGACUUUGAUUGCUUGCUCCUCCGAAUAAAGAUGGCCCUCCUGCUUCAGGUGUAGCGUUUUGUGCUCCAAAAAGUGAAGAUUGAAAGGCCUGUGCGCUUCCGAAGGUCGACUGUGAAAGUCCGAAGCCUGGCGGUGCGCUUCCUAAGGCUGGCUGAGCGUUCCCGAAUACUGACGGGGACGCUGCAAGACUUUGAUAGCUUGCAA